Molecule: ribosomal RNA, 247 nt
Filed under: uncultured bacterium
Lineage: Bacteria
Description: partial 16S ribosomal RNA
Rfam family: Bacterial small subunit ribosomal RNA
Source: RNAcentral
GAGUUUGAUCAUGGCUCAGGACGAACGCUGGCGGCGUGCCUAAUACAUGCAAGUCGAACGAAACUUUCUUACACCGAAUGCUUGCAUUCACCGUAAGAAGUUGAGUGGCGGACGGGUGAGUAACACGUGGGUAACCUGCCUAAAAGAAGGGGAUAACACUUGGGAAACAGGUGCUAAAUACCGUAUAUCUCUAAGGAUCGCAUGAUCCUUAGAUGAAAGAUGGUUUUGCUAUCGCUUUUAGAAUGGU